AACGUAGGUACCGAGCGUUAUCCGGAUUCACUGGGCGUAAAGCGCGUGCAGGUGGUUUGGUAAGUCGGGCAUGAAAACUCUUGGCUCAACUGAGAGACGCUGUCCGAUACUGCCAGACUUGAGGGUGUAAGAGGGAGGUGGAAUUCCGCAUGUAGUGGUGAAAUGCGUAGAUAUGCGGAGGAACACCAGUGGCGAAGGCGGCCUCCUGGUACACUCCUGACACUCAGACGCGAAAGCUAGGGGAGCGAACGGG
This 253-nucleotide ribosomal RNA is filed under the name uncultured bacterium. RNAcentral's name for it is "partial 16S ribosomal RNA". It matches the Rfam family "Bacterial small subunit ribosomal RNA", at positions 524 to 776 of the family's 1533-position model. The record is from RNAcentral.